RNAcentral lists this unclassified non-coding RNA (305 nucleotides) under Hevea brasiliensis (rubber tree). The record is from RNAcentral. Lineage: Eukaryota; Viridiplantae; Streptophyta; Magnoliopsida; Malpighiales; Euphorbiaceae.
GAAUCGCAGUCCACACCAGUCUUCAUAUGCACAUGAGCUUAAGGCACCCAAAUCCUCACCUUCGUUCUUUGCUACGCUUCACAAGGUCUCCUGAAUCCCUUUGGAGAUGUCAAUGGACAUACAUUAGUGACUACCACAAAUUGCUUCGAGUGCUUGAUCUCCAGGGUGCUGCUGUACAUAUAUUACCAAAAGAAACCAGGGCUCAUUCAUUUGCGACACUUGGGAUUGAGGAAUACUGGGUUGAAGAGGUUCUCAUUCUCCAUAAACAACUUGAGUAAGCUACAAACUCUUGACAUUAGGGCUAC